CCUAAGGAAAACAAGAAGACUGAAUGAUAUUCCCUGCUGACUUAUAUAAGUUAUUAGUCUUCUAGAAGGAUCACAAGGAACCAGCAUCAAAGAAAUGGAAUCCAGCUAAUUCCCCCAAGAAACUGAAGUUUUCGGGACAUGACUUGUGAAAGGCAAACAUAAGCUGACAUCUUUUCACACUGAACAGCAAGAGCCAAAGUGUAUCCGAAAAGCCAUUGUCAAAACAAGGAGUGAGAACAGCUGGGGUCAAGACCUAAUGAAGGGCAUCACUCAGCCUCUUUGAGCCUCGGAUUCCUCAUUUGUAAAGUGGGCAUAAUAAUACCUCACAGGGUAGUUAUGAGGGCAAAUGAGAUAAUGGACACGAAGGCACCUGUACACUCCACGGUGCUAUCAGAAUAUUGACUAUUAGUGCUUUCAUCACGCGGCUCCAUCCAAACCCCUGCUUUCCCUCACUCCAGUGGUGCAAAGGAUCAGCACGGGAGUUUUGACCUGCUCCGUUUCCGACCUGGGUCGGUUCACCCCUCCUUAGGCAACCUGGCGGUUCCCCGCUCCAGGGAGGUCACCCUCUUGAUGCUGAAUUUAGCACGGACACCUGAUGGGCACAGUGCACUGCAGCCCAGAGCUCCUGAGCUCAAGCCAUCCUCCUGCCUCAGCCUCCAAGUAGCCAGGACCACAGGCACGCACCCUGAGGUAUGCCAUUUCUCUU
Molecule: long non-coding RNA, 706 nt
Filed under: Homo sapiens (human)
Lineage: Eukaryota; Metazoa; Chordata; Mammalia; Primates; Hominidae
Description: non-protein coding LHFPL3-AS2:8
Source: RNAcentral